RNAcentral lists this long non-coding RNA (356 nucleotides) under Terrapene triunguis (Three-toed box turtle). Its description in RNAcentral is "Terrapene carolina triunguis (Three-toed box turtle) lncRNA (ENSTMTG00000008778.1)". The record is from RNAcentral. Lineage: Eukaryota; Metazoa; Chordata; Testudines; Emydidae.
CUUGAAUCCUGGUGGUGCCUGAGCUCUGCCGCCGGCAGCCCCUCUGCCCGGAGAGCCCAAGACACUCAAGCAUCCCCCAGCAGGAGCGGUGAUCCUAAUCCUGACACCAUCUCUCGCAUGGAAUGCAGGGAAGAACCCCGUGUCUCAAUUCUCCCGGACCCCAGCGAAUGGCUGAAUCAAAGAGGUGCCUGCAAAGAUCACCAGAUCCUGAGUCAAACUGAAGAGGAGACCCCGCAGCGGGAGGGCGCUGGGAAAGCGGAGUCGCGCGGGGCGUCAGCAGAGAGAACUGGAGGGGAUGUCUCGCAGCAGAUCCAGCCUGGGGCAGGGGGAAACCCCGUGGAGCAAGAUCACCUUAC